Molecule: ribosomal RNA, 456 nt
Filed under: Streptococcus mitis
Lineage: Bacteria; Bacillati; Bacillota; Bacilli; Lactobacillales; Streptococcaceae
Description: bacterial SSU rRNA
Rfam family: Bacterial small subunit ribosomal RNA
Source: RNAcentral
GACGAACGCUGGCGGCGUGCCUAAUACAUGCAAGUAGAACGCUGAAGGAGGAGCUUGCUUCUCUGGAUGAGUUGCGAACGGGUGAGUAACGCGUAGGUAACCUGCCUGGUAGCGGGGGAUAACUAUUGGAAACGAUAGCUAAUACCGCAUAAGAGUAGAUGUCGCAUGACAUUUGCUUAAAAGGUGCAAUUGCAUCACUACCAGAUGGACCUGCGUUGUAUUAGCUAGUUGGUGAGGUAACGGCUCACCAAGGCAACGAUACAUAGCCGACCUGAGAGGGUGAUCGGCCACACUGGGACUGAGACACGGCCCAGACUCCUACGGGAGGCAGCAGUAGGGAAUCUUCGGCAAUGGACGGAAGUCUGACCGAGCAACGCCGCGUGAGUGAAGAAGGUUUUCGGAUCGUAAAGCUCUGUUGUAAGAGAAGAACGAGUGUGAGAGUGGAAAGUUCACACU